RNAcentral lists this ribosomal RNA (1009 nucleotides) under Halococcus agarilyticus. RNAcentral describes it as "bacterial SSU rRNA". It matches the Rfam family "Archaeal small subunit ribosomal RNA", at positions 416 to 1426 of the family's 1478-position model. Lineage: Archaea; Methanobacteriati; Methanobacteriota; Halobacteria; Halobacteriales; Halococcaceae. The record is from RNAcentral.
ACCGUAAGGUGGUCUCAGAAUAAGGGCUGGGCAAGACCGGUGCCAGCCGCCGCGGUAAUACCGGCAGCCCGAGUGAUAGCCACUCUUAUUGGGCCUAAAGCGUCCGUAGCUGGCCGAACGGGUCCGUCGGGAAAUCCACCCGCUCAACGGGUGGGCGUCCGGCGGAAACCAGUCGGCUUGGGACCGGAGGACCUGCGGGGUACGUCCGGGGUAGGAGUGAAAUCCUGUAAUCCCGGACGGACCGCCGGUGGCGAAAGCGCCGCAGGAGGACGGAUCCGACAGUGAGGGACGAAAGCUUGGGUCUCGAACCGGAUUAGAUACCCGGGUAGUCCAAGCCGUAAACGAUGCUCGCUAGGUGUGGCGCAGGCUACGAGCCUGCGCUGUGCCGUAGGGAAGCCGAGAAGCGAGCCGCCUGGGAAGUACGUCCGCAAGGAUGAAACUUAAAGGAAUUGGCGGGGGAGCACUACAACCGGAGGAGCCUGCGGUUUAAUUGGACUCAACGCCGGACAUCUCACCGGCACCGACAAUGUGCAGUGACGGUCAGUGUGAUGAGCUUACCUGAGCCAUUGAGAGGAGGUGCAUGGCCGCCGUCAGCUCGUACCGUGAGGCGUCCUGUUAAGUCAGGCAACGAGCGAGACCCGCAUCCCUAAUUGCCAGCAACACCCAUGUGGUGGUUGGGUACAUUAGGGAGACUGCCGCUGCCAAAGCGGAGGAAGGAACGGGCAACGGUAGGUCAGUAUGCCCCGAAUGUGCCGGGCUACACGCGGGCUACAAUGGCCGAGACAGUGGGACGCUACCCCGAGAGGGGACGCUAAUCUCCUAACCUCGGUCGUAGUUCGGAUUGCGGGUUGAAACCCACCCGCAUGAAGCUGGAUUCGGUAGUAAUCGCAUUUCAGAAGAGUGCGGUGAAUACGUCCCUGCUCCUUGCACACACCGCCCGUCAAAGCACCCGAGUGAGGUCCGGAUGAGGUCGACGCAACGUCGAUCGAAUCUGGGCUUCGCAAGGGGG